UUGAACGCUGGCGGCAUGCUUUACACAUGCAAGUCGAACGGCAGCGGGGGCUUCGGCCUGCCGGCGAGUGGCGAACGGGUGAGUAAUGCAUCGGAACGUACCCAGUCGUGGGGGAUAACUACGCGAAAGCGUAGCUAAUACCGCAUACGCCCUGAGGGGGAAAGCGGGGGACCUUCGGGCCUCGCGCGAUUGGAGCGGCUGAUGUCGGAUUAGCUAGUUGGUGGGGUAAAGGCCCACCAAGGCGACGAUCCGUAGCUGGUCUGAGAGGAUGAUCAGCCACACUGGAACUGAGACACGGUCCAGACUCCUACGGGAGGCAGCAGUGGGGAAUUUUGGACAAUGGGGGAAACCCUGAUCCAGCCAUUCCGCGUGAGUGAAGAAGGCCUUCGGGUUGUAAAGCUCUUUCAGCAGGAACGAAACGGUCGGCUUUAAUAAAGCCGGCUAAUGACGGUACCUGCAGAAGACGCACCGGCUCACUACGU
This 482-nucleotide ribosomal RNA is filed under the name uncultured bacterium. Its description in RNAcentral is "bacterial SSU rRNA". It matches the Rfam family "Bacterial small subunit ribosomal RNA", at positions 29 to 506 of the family's 1533-position model. The record is from RNAcentral.